CCCUUAGAUGUUCUGGGCUGCACGCGUGCUACACUGAUAUUGCCAAUAUGUCAUUCUUAUCCGAAAUGGAUUGGGUAAUCAAGUAAUGAAAUUUCAUGCUUGGAAUCGGUAAUUGCAAUUUUAUCGUGAACGAGGAAUUCCUAGUAAGCACUAGUCAUCAGCUAAUGUUGAUUAUGUCCCUGCCCUUUGUGCACACCGCCCGUCGCUACUACUGAUUGGGUGUUCAAGUGAGAUGCUUAGACCCUUGUUGCAUGGUUCAUUAUUGUGCUCCGAAAGGAAAAAGUUUCAAGCUUGAGUGUCUAGAGGAAGGAGAAGUCGUAACA
RNAcentral lists this ribosomal RNA (323 nucleotides) under uncultured eukaryote. RNAcentral's name for it is "partial 18S ribosomal RNA". It matches the Rfam family "Eukaryotic small subunit ribosomal RNA", at positions 1470 to 1796 of the family's 1831-position model. The record is from RNAcentral.